This is a long non-coding RNA of Lycium ferocissimum, 1271 nucleotides long. RefSeq lists it as uncharacterized. Lineage: Eukaryota; Viridiplantae; Streptophyta; Magnoliopsida; Solanales; Solanaceae. The transcript is spliced from 2 exons. The record is from RefSeq and is a predicted model, not a curated record.
GAGGCACAAACAUAUUACCCGAGUGCUCCACCCUCUUUUUGACCGAAGCAAAUAAUUUGCUUGACGUCACUGUUUACUUUUCCUUUUUGACGUCACUGUAUCUGUUUACUUUUCCUUUUUGCCCGAAACAAACAAUUUAUUUGCCCCCACCCCCUUUUUGACAGAAACAAAUAAUUUGUCUCGCCCCACGCUCCCACCUUUUAAAACACUGGUCACAAGUAUGAUGAUGCAGCAAUUGGACUAUAAAUGCGUAGGUCUUCAACGACUGAGAAUCACCUGAUCCUAGAACCCCUCUCCCAAUUAUCAGUCAGCUAACCACAAUGACGACUUCUGAUACCAAAUUGAGCAUGAAGCUUUUGAUCGAUAGCGAGGCUGGCAAAGUACUAUUUGCAGAGGCUGAAAAGGAUUGUGUUGAUUUCCUCUUUCACAUUCUCUCGUUGCCAGUGGGUACUGUCAUUAGGCUUCUCAAGGAAAAAGGAAUGAAUGGGUGCUUGCCUAACCUAUACGAUAGUGUGGAGAAUCUGAAUGACACCUAUAUUCAGUCAAACCAAGGCAAAGAUAUCCUUUGAAACCCAACUCUUCAGUCGGAAUAUCUUCAGUUCCUUUUCUAUUGCUUAAUGACGUUCCGACUACAGAGAAGACUUUUUAUGGCGGUUCCAAUGGCAGCUGCUGUUAUACUGAUAACGGCUGUUAUGUUCGUGAUGAUUACUGCAGUUAUGUUUGUGAUGACCCUAGUGCAAGAUGCCCAAGGUGUCAAAAUCUUUUGACAAAAAGGUUGACGUAUGUUGCUCGACCGACAGUGGAUGGAGCUGCUGGGACAGCUGCAAGGGGUUUUGUGAAGGAGGUGGUGACAUACAUGGUGAUGGAUGACUUGGUCGUUAAGCCUAUGUCCACCAUCUCUAGCAUUACACUUCUCAACAAGUUUAAUGUCAAGGAUGUUGGUGUCCUGCGUGAGGAAGUGGUAGAUUUUGGAAUGGAAGAGGCACUGGAGUUGCUGAAAGCAUCUUUCGAGUUGAAAGCAGUUCUGACUAGUGUUUUCAUGAGCCGUAUAAAAGGGGAAAAAUAGUUAUAUUAGACAUAAUGGAAUUGGAUGUUUCAGUUUAGUAAAUUGCCCUUUAAUGGCUUUCUUUUGUUUCAUUUCCCGCUAUCGUUGAUUAUGCUUUGUAGGUUCUGUUGUAUAUGAUCCACUGCAAAAUCUUACUUUGUCUGGUUUGAGAAUGUUUUUGUUAUGUUGUCUGCUUUCACCCUGUAUUAUGGAGCAUCUUUUCUCA